This 440-nucleotide ribosomal RNA is filed under the name uncultured bacterium. Its description in RNAcentral is "partial 16S ribosomal RNA". It matches the Rfam family "Bacterial small subunit ribosomal RNA", at positions 338 to 795 of the family's 1533-position model. The record is from RNAcentral.
CCUACGGGAGGCAGCAGUAGGGAAUAUUGCUCAAUGGGGGAAACCCUGCAGCAGCAACGCCGCGUGGAGGAUGAAGGUUUUCGGAUUGUAAACUCCUUUUGUUAGAGAAGAUAAUGACGGUAUCUAACGAAUAAGCACCGGCUAACUCCGUGCCAGCAGCCGCGGUAAUACGGAGGGUGCAAGCGUUACUCGGAAUCACUGGGCGUAAAGAGCGCGUAGGCGGGAUAGCAAGUCAGAUGUGAAAUCCUAUGGCUUAACCAUAGAACUGCAUUUGAAACUGUUAUUCUAGAGUAUGGGAGAGGUAGGUGGAAUUCUUGGUGUAGGGGUAACAUCCGUAGAGAUCAAGAGGAAUACUCAUUGCGAAGGCGACCUGCUAGAACAUAACUGACGCUGAUGCGCGAAAGCGUGGGGAGCAAACAGGAUUAGAUACCCUUGUAGUC